UCAUUGGCGUGAUUUUUGGUUGGAUAGUAGUUAUAUGGUUAACUGGAUUGAAAUCCUCGUUCCACAUGUCCUGUGAAAUCAUGUUAUAUAUACUAGAGCACCUAAACGAGAUAUAUAGUUGUUUUGGUUAUGUGAAAGAUUUCCAUUUAUCACAUUGCUUUGCAAGUCUAGAACUUUAUUUUGCGUGCACGUAUGUCAGAAAAUUAGUAUGAAUUUUUAUUUUACUGAUAGUUAUUUGUACAAUUUAAGUCUUGAAAUUCUUUAUAAUUUGCAGGAAAAUUAACUUGUCCGGAGUAAAAAGAAUAUAUAAGCAAAUGAACCUUUAGAAAAGGUCACCUGAUAUUUUUAGGUAGUAAGAGCAUCAUUAACGGGCCUCUUACCCCGUCUCUUAGUUAUUAUUAAAAUUAAAAAAAAAAAAGACAAUUAUCUUAAAAGAUGUCUCUUAAUCAAGAGACAGAAGAGGCGACUCUUGUAGACACACGUCGUUCUCUCUUGCUUCCUCUGGAAUCUCUCGUCAGCUUCCCAGCAUCAGAUGAAUCGUCUUCUCUCUUCCUCACUUUUGAUUGAUAAUACUCAUGAUUGGAAGUACAAGCAGAGAGGCCCUUUGGGGUAUUGUAUGUUUCAAUUGAAUCAAUGCUCUCUCUGAUGUUUUCCUUGAAUCAAUAGAGAGGAGGAGGGAAGGAUAAAUGGAUAAUGGAGAAGAAGAGAAGCAGAGCACGGAGCGAAGAUCCUUCUUCUUCCGAGAGCGAAGAAAAAGUUAAGAGGAACAGAGAAAGAAGAUGAGAGGAGAAGUUAGAAGAAGGAAAAUAAAUCUCACAAGCACCACCGAUCAAGUUCAUGGUUUUGUUUUGGUGUGUAGUGAGCUAGAGAGCCAAAAUACGAUGUCGUUUACAGGAACGCCGCAGAAAUGCAGGGCGUGCGAGAAGACAGUGUACGCUAUGGAGCUUCUCUCAGCUGAUGGUGUCCCUUUUCAGAAGUCUUGCUUCAAGUGUUAUCACUGCAAAUCCACCCUUCAAGCUACACAAUUGAGGGGAACUAAGACAGUACGUUGGUCUUGUUGAAUUGUUUUUUGGUGAAUUGCAAAACUUUGAAGUUAGGUGAUAUGUAUAGCCUUUGUACGUUGAAUUAGAGAAAGGUUGUAUUAUCAGAAACUUGUAUAAAUGAUAUGGAUAAUAAAAGUGUAUUCACAAGAUCAAAUGUUCCUUUUCUAGUUC
This is an RNA transcript of Brassica napus (rape), 1214 nucleotides long. It is a transcript of the gene named pollen-specific protein SF3, with no coding region annotated. The record is from RefSeq and is a predicted model, not a curated record. The transcript is spliced from 4 exons. NCBI's taxonomy places the organism in Eukaryota, Viridiplantae, Streptophyta, Magnoliopsida, Brassicales, Brassicaceae.